UCUUAAGGUAAACGUACCAAUGGCUGGACAUUUAAGACGAUAUUUGUAUUCUAAUCUAAUUUUCACCGAUAUGCGUCGAUCGUUUUGGGGAAUGACGGUAAUCAAUCUCAAGGUUAGAGUCUCUAGUUUUCGAAACCCAUCCAUUAAAUUCUUUUGCGAUAGUUUGAAACAUAUUUAUUAACAAAAACGUUGGGAGAAAAAAAUGUACCAGUUACUGGACAGCUAUUUAUCGGUGUGUCCCGAUGUCCGGACAUCAGAUUAUCGUCAAAUGUUAGCCGGAGUGUCCAGUAAUUGGGUCUUGUCCAGCCAUUGGUACGUUUACCUUAUAUAAGGUUAUGUGGCACAAA
Harpegnathos saltator (Jerdon's jumping ant) is the source of this 347-nucleotide long non-coding RNA. RefSeq lists it as uncharacterized. The transcript has 3 exons. Lineage: Eukaryota; Metazoa; Arthropoda; Insecta; Hymenoptera; Formicidae. The record is from RefSeq and is a predicted model, not a curated record.